CUUGAGCCGUGGCUUUCGGAGCUAACGCGUUAAGUAGACCGCCUGGGGAGUACGGUCGCAAGAUUAAAACUCAAAUGAAUUGACGGGGGCCCGCACAAGCGGUGGAGCAUGUGGUUUAAUUCGAUGCAACGCGAAGAACCUUACCUACUCUUGACAUCCAGAGAAGCCAGCGGAGACGCAGGUGUGCCUUCGGGAGCUCUGAGACAGGUGCUGCAUGGCUGUCGUCAGCUCGUGUCGUGAGAUGUUGGGUUAA
RNAcentral lists this ribosomal RNA (253 nucleotides) under Vibrio sp. a11s4. Its description in RNAcentral is "partial 16S ribosomal RNA". It matches the Rfam family "Bacterial small subunit ribosomal RNA", at positions 831 to 1083 of the family's 1533-position model. The record is from RNAcentral. Lineage: Bacteria; Pseudomonadati; Pseudomonadota; Gammaproteobacteria; Vibrionales; Vibrionaceae. RNAcentral also lists the same sequence under 1 other name.